UACGUAGGGUGCAAGCGUUGUCCGGAAUUAUUGGGCGUAAAGAGCUCGUAGGCGGUUUGUCGCGUCUGCUGUGAAAACUCGGGGCUUAACUCCGGGCCUGCAGUGGGUACGGGCAGACUAGAGUGCGGUAGGGGAGACUGGAAUUCCUGGUGUAGCAGUGAAAUGCGUAGAUAUCAGGAGGAAUACCGAUGGCGAAGGCAGGUCUCUGGGCUGACACUGACGCUCAUGCACGAAAGCGUGGGGAGCAAACAGG
This 253-nucleotide ribosomal RNA is filed under the name uncultured bacterium. Its description in RNAcentral is "partial 16S ribosomal RNA". It matches the Rfam family "Bacterial small subunit ribosomal RNA", at positions 524 to 776 of the family's 1533-position model. The record is from RNAcentral.